Molecule: long non-coding RNA, 389 nt
Filed under: Pan troglodytes (chimpanzee)
Lineage: Eukaryota; Metazoa; Chordata; Mammalia; Primates; Hominidae
Description: long non-coding RNA NONPTRT008308
Source: RNAcentral
GAACGGAAUCAAGCGAAUGAGAGCGCGUGAGUGUGUGUGUGGAGAGAACGGAAUCAAGCGAAUGAGAGCGCGUGAGUGUGUGUGUGGAGAGAGAACGGAAUCAAGCGAAUGAGAGCGCGUGAGUGUGUGUAGAGAGAACGGAAUCAAGCGAAUGAGAGCGCGUGAGUGUGUGUGUGGAGAGAGAACGGAAUCAGGCGAAUGAGAGCGCGUGAGUGUGUGUGUGGAGAGAGAGAACAGAGUCAAGCGAAUGAGAGCGCGUGAGUGUGUAUGUGGAGAGAGAGAACGGAAUCAAGCGAAUGAGAGCGCGUCAGUGUGUGUGUGGAGAGAGAGAACGGAAUCAAGCGAAUGAGAGCGCGUGAGUGUGUGUGUGGAGAGAGAACAGAGUCAAG